Molecule: ribosomal RNA, 422 nt
Filed under: uncultured bacterium
Lineage: Bacteria
Description: partial 16S ribosomal RNA
Rfam family: Bacterial small subunit ribosomal RNA
Source: RNAcentral
AAUCUUCGGCAAUGGACGAAAGUCUGAUGGAGCAACGCCGCGUGAGUGAAGAAGGCUUUAGGAUCGUAAAACUCUGUGUUUGGAGAAGAACAGGGACUAGAGUAACUGUUAGUCCUUUGACGGUAUCCAACCAGAAAGCCACGUCUAACUACGUGCCAGCAGACGCAGUAAUACGUAGGUGGCAACGGAUGUCCGGAUUUAUUGGGCGUAAAGCGAGCGCAGGGGGUUUUUAUAGUCUUAUGUGAAAGCCUUCGGCUUAACCGAAGAAGUGCAUUAGAAACUGGGAACCUUGAGUGCAGAAGAGGACAGUGGAACUCCAUGUGUAGCGGUGAAAUGCGUAGAUAUAUGGAAGAACACCAGUGGCGAAGGAGGCUGUCUGGUCUGUAACUGACGCUGAGGCUCGAAAGUAUGGGGAGCGAACA